GUGUCAGCCGCCGCGGUAAUACGUAGGUGGCAAGCGUUGUCCGGAAUUAUUGGGCGUAAAGGGCUCGCAGGCGGUUCCUUAAGUCUGAUGUGAAAGCCCCCGGCUCAACCGGGGAGGGUCAUUGGAAACUGGGGAACUUGAGUGCAGAAGAGGAGAGUGGAAUUCCAUGUGUAGCGGUGAAAUGCGUAGAGAUAUGGAGGAACACCAGUGGCGAAGGCGGCUUCCUGGUCUGUAACUGACACUGAGGCGCGAAAGCGUGGGUAGCAAACAGGAUUAGAAACCCCCGUAGUC
This 291-nucleotide ribosomal RNA is filed under the name uncultured prokaryote. Its description in RNAcentral is "partial 16S ribosomal RNA". It matches the Rfam family "Bacterial small subunit ribosomal RNA", at positions 505 to 795 of the family's 1533-position model. The record is from RNAcentral.